UAGGGAAUAUUGCGCAAUGGGCGAAAGCCUGACGCAGCAACACCGCGUGAAGGAUGAAGCUUUUCGGAGUGUAAACUUCUGUCAGCAGGGAAGAAGAAUGACGGUACCUGCGAAGGAAGCAUCGGCUAACUACGUGCCAGCAGCCGCGGUAAGACGUAGGAUGCAAGCGUUGUCCGGAAUUAUUGGGCGUAAAGCGUUCGUAGGUGGUUUAUUAAGUCUGGUGUUAAAUCUCGGGGCUCAACCCCGAUACGGCAUUGGAAACUGGUUAACUGGAGUGCGGUAGAGGUAACAAGAAUUCCUGGUGUAGCGGUGAAAUGCGUAGAUAUCAGGAGGAAUGCCGGAGGCGAAAGCGUGUUACUGGGCCGUAACUGACACUGAGGAACGAAAGCCAGGGUAGCGA
This 400-nucleotide ribosomal RNA is filed under the name uncultured bacterium. Its description in RNAcentral is "bacterial SSU rRNA". It matches the Rfam family "Bacterial small subunit ribosomal RNA", at positions 355 to 771 of the family's 1533-position model. The record is from RNAcentral.